Molecule: ribosomal RNA, 455 nt
Filed under: uncultured bacterium
Lineage: Bacteria
Description: bacterial SSU rRNA
Rfam family: Bacterial small subunit ribosomal RNA
Source: RNAcentral
UACGGAAGGCAGCAGGGGGGAAUAUUGCACAAUGGGCGCAAGCCUGAUGCAGCCAUGCCGCGUGUAUGAAGAAGGCCUUCGGGUUGUAAAGUACUUUCAGUCGUGAGGAAGGUGUUAAGGUUAAUAACCUUAGCAAUUGACGUUAGCGACAGAAGAAGCACCGGCUAACUCCGUGCCAGCAGCCGCGGUAAUACGGAGGGUGCGAGCGUUAAUCGGAAUUACUGGGCGUAAAGGGCACGCAGGCGGUUAAUUAAGUUGGAUGUGAAAUCCCCGGGCUUAACCUGGGAAUGGCAUUCAAGACUGGUUAGCUAGAGUCUUGUAGAGGGGGGUAGAAUUCCAUGUGUAGCGGUGAAAUGCGUAGAGAUGUGGAGGAAUACCGGUGGCGAAGGCGGCCCCUGGACAAAGACUGACGCUCAUGUGCGAAAGCGUGGGGAGCAAACGAGGGAUUAGAUAUC